This 502-nucleotide ribosomal RNA is filed under the name uncultured bacterium. RNAcentral's name for it is "partial 16S ribosomal RNA". It matches the Rfam family "Bacterial small subunit ribosomal RNA", at positions 28 to 507 of the family's 1533-position model. The record is from RNAcentral.
GACGAACGCUGGCGGCGUGCUUAACACAUGCAAGUCGAACGGUGAAGGGGUCUGCUUUUGUGGGCCCUGGAUGAGUGGCGAACGGGUGAGUCACACGUGAGUAACCUGCCCCCUUCUUCUGGAUAACCGCAUGAAAGUGUGGCUAAUACGGGAUAUUCUGGGUCUGUCGCAUGAUGGGUCUGGGAAAGAUUGCGCCUUUGGGUGUUUUUGGUGGGGGAUGGGCUCGCGGCCUAUCAGCUUGUGGGUGGGGUGAUGGCCUACCAAGGCGGUGACGGGUAGCCGGCCGGAGAGGGUGGACGGUGACACUGGGACUGGGACACGGCCCAGACUCCUACGGGAGGCAGCAGUGGGGAAUAUUGCACAAUGGGCGCAAGCCUGAUGCAGCGACGCCGCGUGAGGGAUGGAGGCCUGCGGGUUGUAAACCUCUUUCGCCAGUGAAGCAGGCCUGCCCCUUGUGGGUGGGUUGACGGUAGCUGGAGAAGAAGCGCCGGCUAACUACGUG